Molecule: ribosomal RNA, 520 nt
Filed under: uncultured Glomus
Lineage: Eukaryota; Fungi; Glomeromycota; Glomeromycetes; Glomerales; Glomeraceae
Description: SSU rRNA
Rfam family: Eukaryotic small subunit ribosomal RNA
Source: RNAcentral
AGCAGCCGCGGUAAUUCCAGCUCCAAUAGCGUAUAUUAAAGUUGUUGUAGUUAAAAAGCUCGUAGUUGAAUUUCGAGAUCGGUUUAUUGGUCGUGCUAUUGUACGUACUGGUAUUACCGGUUUCUCUUUUCUGACGAACCUUAAUGCCAUUAAUUUGGUGUUUUGGGAAAUCAGGACUGUUACUUUGAAAAAAUUAGAGUGUUUAAAGCAGGCUCACGCUUGAAUACAUUAGCAUGGAAUAACGGAAUAGGACGUUUGAUUCUAUUUUGUUGGUUUCUAGGAUCGACGUAAUGAUUAAUAGGGAUAGUUGGGGGCAUUAGUAUUCAAUUGUCAGAGGUGAAAUUCUUGGAUUUAUUGAAGACUAACUACUGCGAAAGCAUUUGCCAAGGAUGUUUCAUUAAUCAAGAACGAAAGUUAGGGAUCGAAGACAAUCAGAUACCGUCGUAGUCUUAACCAUAAACUAUGCCGACUAGGGAUCGGAUGAUGUUAAUUUUUAUGACUCAUUCGGCGCCUUACGGGA